This 380-nucleotide ribosomal RNA is filed under the name uncultured eukaryote. Its description in RNAcentral is "partial 18S ribosomal RNA". It matches the Rfam family "Eukaryotic small subunit ribosomal RNA", at positions 592 to 976 of the family's 1831-position model. The record is from RNAcentral.
CAAUAGCGUAUAUUAAAGUUGUUGCAGUUAAAAAGCUCGUAGUUGGAUUUGUGGCGUACGGUGUGUUCCGGGCACUUGUUGUCUGAGUAACCUGCUGUUGCCAUCCUUGGGUGGAACCUGUGUGGCAUUAGGUUGUCGUGCAGGGGAUGCCCAUCAUUUACUGUGAAAAAAUUAGAGUGUUCAAAGCAGGCUUAUGCCGUUGAAUAUAUUAGCAUGGAAUAAUGAGAUAGGACUUUUUUGCUAUUUUGUUGGUUUGCGCAAAGAGGUAAUGAUUAAUAGGGACAGUUGGGGGUAUUCGUAUUCCAUAGUCAGAGGUGAAAUUCUUGGAUUUUUGGAGGACGAACUACUGCGAAAGCAUUUACCAAGGAUGUUUUCAUUAA